This 746-nucleotide ribosomal RNA is filed under the name uncultured Actinomycetes bacterium. Its description in RNAcentral is "bacterial SSU rRNA". It matches the Rfam family "Bacterial small subunit ribosomal RNA", at positions 28 to 767 of the family's 1533-position model. Lineage: Bacteria; Bacillati; Actinomycetota; Actinomycetes. The record is from RNAcentral.
GACGAACGCUGGCGGCGUGCUUAACACAUGCAAGUCGAACGCUGAAGCCUGGCUUUUGUUGGGUGGAUGAGUGGCGAACGGGUGAGUAACACGUGAGUAACCUGCCCUCUUCUUUGGGAUAACGCCCGGAAACGGGUGCUAAUACUGGAUAUUCACUUGCCUUCGCAUGGGGGUGGGUGGAAAGGGUUUUUUUCUGGUGGGGGAUGGGCUCGCGGCCUAUCAGCUUGUUGGUGGGGUGAUGGCUUACCAAGGCUUUGACGGGUAGCCGGCCUGAGAGGGUGACCGGUCACAUUGGGACUGAGAUACGGCCCAGACUCCUACGGGAGGCAGCAGUGGGGAAUAUUGCACAAUGGGCGCAAGCCUGAUGCAGCGACGCCGCGUGAGGGAUGGAGGCCUUCGGGUUGUGAACCUCUUUCGCUCAUGGUCAAGCCGCAACUCAUGGUUGUGGUGAGGGUAGUGGGUAAAGAAGCGCCGGCUAACUACGUGCCAGCAGCCGCGGUAAUACGUAGGGCGCGAGCGUUGUCCGGAAUUAUUGGGCGUAAAGGGCUUGUAGGCGGUUGGUCGCGUCUGCCGUGAAAUCCUCUGGCUUAACUGGGGGCGUGCGGUGGGUACGGGCUGACUUGAGUGCGGUAGGGGAGACUGGAACUCCUGGUGUAGCGGUGGAAUGCGCAGAUAUCAGGAAGAACACCGGUGGCGAAGGCGGGUCUCUGGGCCGUUACUGACGCUGAGGAGCGAAAGCGUGGGGA